RNAcentral lists this ribosomal RNA (468 nucleotides) under uncultured bacterium. RNAcentral describes it as "partial 16S ribosomal RNA". The stretch from base 53 to 468 matches the Rfam family "Bacterial small subunit ribosomal RNA", at positions 34 to 507 of the family's 1533-position model. The record is from RNAcentral.
GGGGGGGGGGGGGGGGGGGGGGGGGGGGGGGGGGGGGGGGGGGGGGGGCCUGCGUGGGGGGGGUGCUGGGGGGGCGAACGGGUGGGUAACACGUGCGUGACCGGCCCUGGACUUUGUGAUGACUUCAGGACACUGGGCCUAAUACCUGAUGGGAUCUCCUGCUUCAUUGUGGGGGUUGCAGCGUUUCGGCGGGUGGGGAUGGACUCGCGGCUUAUCAGCUGUUUGGUGGGGUAGUGGCUUACCAAGGCUUUGACGGGUAUCUGGCCGGAGAGGGUGACCGGCCACAUUGGGACUGAGAUACGGCCAAGACUCCUACGGGAGGCAGGAGUGGGGAAUAUUGCACAAUGGGCGGAAGCCUGAUGCAGCAACGCCGCGUGCGGGAUGACGGCCUUCGGGUUGUAAACCGCUUUCGCCUGUGACGAAGCGUGAGUGACGGUAAUGGGUAAAGAAGCACCGGCUAACUAAGUG